Molecule: unclassified non-coding RNA, 341 nt
Filed under: Hevea brasiliensis (rubber tree)
Lineage: Eukaryota; Viridiplantae; Streptophyta; Magnoliopsida; Malpighiales; Euphorbiaceae
Source: RNAcentral
GCUAAAUUCAUAUGCAAGGAGGUUAGUGUUAUGAGAUGUCAUCAUGUUAGAUAACUUAAAAAAUACUUUCUAAUGCUCUCUGGGGAUUGCUAUUAAUUUUCAUAAUAUAUAAAACAUAUAUAUGUGCAAGCAAACAGAUGGAAACCUUUGAAUCUGCUGUGAUACCAUAACAUGAUUAUUCAGCCAUAAGGUCCUGGACCAUAGUGAACUCAAGAACGGGCUUCAUAGUAAUCAGAUAUAUGGUUUUGUAGUAAUCGAGUCUAGUUAUGCCUUAUCCAAAUUGGAUAAGUUUCAGAACAUUAAUCUUGUCAUCAUUUCUUCAUGGUGCAGAUAGUUCAAAU